This 492-nucleotide ribosomal RNA is filed under the name uncultured bacterium. Its description in RNAcentral is "partial 16S ribosomal RNA". It matches the Rfam family "Bacterial small subunit ribosomal RNA", at positions 29 to 507 of the family's 1533-position model. The record is from RNAcentral.
AGUGAACGCUGGCGGUAGGCCUAACACAUGCAAGUCGAACGGCAGCACAGUAAGAGCUUGCUCUUACGGGUGGCGAGUGGAGGACGGGUGAGGAAUACAUCGGAAUCUACUUUUUCGUGGGGGAUAACGUAGGGAAACUUACGCUAAUACCGCAUACGACCUACGGGUGAAAGCAGGGGAUCUUCGGACCUUGCGCGAAUGAAUGAGCCGAUGUCGGAUUAGCUAGUUGGCGGGGUAAAGGCCCACCAAGGCGACGAUCCGUAGCUGGUCUGAGAGGAUGAUCAGCCACACUGGAACUGAGACCCGGUCCAGACUCCUACGGGAGGCAGCAGUGGGGAAUAUUGGACAAUGGGCGCAAGCCUGAUCCAGCCAUACCGCGUGGGUGAAGAAGGCCUUCGGGUUGUAAAGCCCUUUUGUUGGGAAAGAAAAGCAGCAGGUUAAUACCCCGCUGUUCUGACGGUACCCAAAGAAUAAGCACCGGCUAACUUCGUG